This is a non-coding RNA of Jatropha curcas, 1634 nucleotides long. The record is from RefSeq and is a predicted model, not a curated record. NCBI's taxonomy places the organism in Eukaryota, Viridiplantae, Streptophyta, Magnoliopsida, Malpighiales, Euphorbiaceae.
CAAUAGCGCGCUAAAAAGUUAAACCCUUGACAUUCUGUGAGUUCUCCAAAAUCGUCCUUUUCAUCUUCGUCUUUGGAUUAGUUCUCUGCGCUUUCCAUUCGGGAGUGAUUUUUGCGGAACCAAAACCCUCAUUCGUCUUUCUGUGUAGGUUUGUUUGAAGAGGAAUCGUAUUAAGUCACCAUGAGUAGGCCAAUGGGUGAGGAUGUCACGAGUUCAACUUGGAAUGGUUUAUAUUCAUGUAGCCAAGAAUGAGUCAGAAGAAUUCAGCACUGGGCCACUUUCUGUUCUCAUGAUGAGUGUUAAAAAUAAUACACAGGUAGCUUUUAAUCUAGCAGCCUCAAGUUUUUGCCUUGCUGGUAUUUUUAUUAGGUAGAAACAUUGAAGCCUAGCAGUGUUCAACUUAAAUUGACUGUCAUACGAGCAGCUUGACAAUUGUGGACCAUUUGGGAUUACCCAAAUUUGUUUAGCUGGGGAUAGUCCAAUCAGACUAAAGGGACUUAUUAUGAACCAGUCAGCUUUAUGAAUGUUUGGCUCCAAUUAUCAAAAUUCCUAAACCCAAUUUGUGGUCCUGGGGUUGUCAGCUUUGAUACCGGCUGGUCACUCACUGAUUUUAUGUGAUAUGGGUAUGCAUUUUGCUAAUCUGCAGUUACAACUUCUGUUAGUUUGCAUUUUUGUAUUACAUAUUUUAUUGUGUAAUUGGGUGCUCAUUAACUGCCGCAACAAUAAGAAACUUCUUGGACGUGUGAGAGCAUUUGACCGACACUGCAACAUGGUUCUAGAAAAUGUCAGGGAGAUGUGGACUGAGGUGCCAAAAACUGGGAAAGGCAAGAAAAAAGCUCAACCAGUUAACAAAGAUAGAUUCAUCAGUAAAAUGUUUCUUCGAGGAGACUCUGUUAUCAUUGUCCUUAGGAAUCCAAAGUGAAAUGUUAUGAUUCUGAUGGUCUUUGUUUGUUUUUUCUUGCUUGUUCCUUUUGCGUAAGUGUGUGAAACUGUGAAUCAUAUUGAUGGUCAUGCGUCUUUGUGAGACCAGACUGUCACGUACUCAGAUUUGCUCAAACUAGUUGGUUUUUGGACAGUGUUUUUUACUUCAGAAUAUUAAAAUGUGAGAUGGUUGUGAAUUUGUGCGACUGACUCCAUAACUCUUGUCAUUUGAAUUUUAAUGGAUGGAAAUGUAACUGUGGUGCACUUCAUCUGACUUGUAAAAUUGUUCCCUUUCCAUACAAAUACUUUUUGGUAAAUAUUUCUUGAAGUGUAAAUUGGACUAGUACAAAUGCUAAUGUACGAAGAUACGAUUGUAUAUGUAACAAAACAAAUACAAUGAAAUAGAGGCAGGCAGGCAGCCAUUUCUAAUGCUUAGAGUUAAAAAGUAAUUUUAAUUGUAAGACUUGCUGUCUAUUAUCCUUAGAAUAGAAAAUACAAUCAAAAAUAAAGACAUGGAGAUUAUGGAGCUGACUGAAUCAAAACCCAACGGAACACCUCAAGAUACAUUCCUCAUGGAAAAAGGAGCCCCAUUUGCUGCUACUGCUGUUGCCACGGUAGUACUUGUAUAGUUGUCAUACAGGCGAAGACAAAUUGGUUAUCUACCAAAUAAUUAUAUUUCUGCUUCUUCUGCCCAAAGGAAAAAAAAAAAAAAA